CCGGACAGGUGCAGGUGAGGCGGCUCCGGCUCCAGGGAGUCUGCAACACCUGAGCUCGUCAGGACAGGUAACACAGGCACCCACAGGUAACCCCCAGGUGUUCCCCAGGUACACCCAGGUAAUGCCCAGGUGUUCCCAGGUAACCCCCAGGUGUUCCUGGAUAACCCCAGGUAACCCCAGGUACCCACAGGUAACCUGCAGGUACCUCCACGUGUUCCC
Long non-coding RNA from Poecile atricapillus (Black-capped chickadee), 219 nucleotides. RefSeq lists it as uncharacterized. The record is from RefSeq and is a predicted model, not a curated record. NCBI's taxonomy places the organism in Eukaryota, Metazoa, Chordata, Aves, Passeriformes, Paridae. The transcript has 3 exons.